This 1518-nucleotide ribosomal RNA is filed under the name Triticum aestivum (bread wheat). RNAcentral's name for it is "partial small subunit ribosomal RNA". The record is from RNAcentral. Lineage: Eukaryota; Viridiplantae; Streptophyta; Magnoliopsida; Poales; Poaceae.
AUGGCGGCGUCGCGACGGCGCACGUCGGCGGAGUUCCAAGGGGACGGCAGCCUAAUGCCGCCGUCGGCGCACGUGGUCGCUUCUCCCCGCGGCGGUGGCGCGCCCAGCCGGGAGGAGCACGCGAACGGCGGCCGCCCGGCGCUCCGGGGAGCAAAUCCAAGAGGCGGCAGCAGCGUAUUCUCAGCCACCAAGCUCACCGGCAGGAGGCGGCCGGCGAGGCGCAUGCCACUACGGCGAGUCGCCAUCUUUGCCUCCCUCGCAUUGAAUGUCGCCGCACUCGCGCUCCUACGCCACCGGUACGUCGUCAGCCACCCGCACCAUCCCGGUGUCGUCUCUCUUGAUCAGCAGCACCACGUCUGCGCCCCGCAGCCGGGCACCAGCGGCGCGGCGGCGAGUGCGCCGUCGACCGGGAAGCCGGGAGUGACUUCCGACUCUGUUAUUAAUCUGGACCACGGGGACCCGACCAUGUUUGAGGCCUUCUGGAGGGAGACCGGCGACGCGGCGGAGCUCGUAAUCCCGGGGUGGCAGACGAUGAACUACUUCUCCGACGUCAGUAACGUGUGCUGGUUCAUGGAGCCUGAUUUCGACCAGCAGGUGCGCCGCCUCCACCGCACGGUCGGCAACGCCGCCGUGGACGGUUGCCACGUCCUCGUCGGCACCGGUUCCACGCAGCUCCUCAUGGCGGCGCUCUACGCCCUGUCGCCAGCGGAUGCCGUCCAGCCCACCAGCGUCGUCUCCACGGCGCCCUUCUACUCGUGGUACCCUGCCGUGACGGACUUCCUCCGGUCCGGGCUGUUCCGCUGGGCCGGCGACGCAAACUCGUUCGUUGGCGACGCCUACAUCGAGCUGGUGUGCUCCCCGAACAACCCCGACGGCGCCAUCCGCGACGCCCUGCUGGGCUCCGGUGGCGCCGGGAAGGCGGUCCAUGACCUUGCCUACUACUGGCCGCAGUACACCCCAAUCACUCGACGGGCCGACCAUGACAUCAUGCUCUUCACCAUGUCCAAGAGCACCGGGCACGCCGGCACGAGGAUCGGGUGGGCAUUGGUGAAGGACCGGGAGGUGGCGCGGAGGAUGACCAAGUUCGUGGAGCUCAACACCGUCAGCGUGUCGAAGGACUCGCAGCUGCGCGCCGCCAGGGUGCUCAGGGCGGUCUCCGACGGGUACGGCGGCGGCGCCUCGCGCCACCGGCUGUUCGACUUCGGGCGGCGCAAGAUGGCGGAGCGCUGGAGGAUGCUGCGCGAGGCCGCCGCCGCGUCCGGCAUCUUCAGCCUGCCCGAGGAGACCUCCGGCCGCUGCAACUUCGCCAACGAGACGGCCGCCAAUAACCAUGCGUUCGCGUGGCUGCGGUGCGACAGGGAGGACGUGGAGGACUGCGCGGGGUUCCUCCGCGGCCACAAGAUCCUGACGAGGAGCGGGAACCAGUUCGGCGCGGAACCGAGGUACGUCCGGGUCAGCAUGCUCGGCAGGGACGACGCCUACGACAUCUUCAUCAGGCGCCUCGCCUCACUCAAAUGA